RNA transcript from Cimex lectularius (bed bug), 1441 nucleotides. It is a transcript of the gene named restin homolog, with no coding region annotated. Lineage: Eukaryota; Metazoa; Arthropoda; Insecta; Hemiptera; Cimicidae. The record is from RefSeq and is a predicted model, not a curated record. The transcript has 9 exons.
AAUGGCCAUAUAACUACUAAUUUACUAAUUUAUGACAUUUGUUGUUCAAUAAUAAACAAAGUCAAUCGACUGAUGUCAAUAGAGCCAGAAAACAAUAACCAUAAAAGCUUUGCAUUUAUUUAGAAUACAUUAAAAUGAGUGAAGAGUGUCAGAGUAAUGAAAUAUUGGAGUUUCAGAACAAAUUCCAAGAUAAAUUAUUUGAACUUCAGUCUAAAAGGAGUACAAUGAAAGAUCUUGAAGCCAAAAUGCAAAAGGAGAUACUGCAGAAACAAGAUUUUCAAAGGUCCGUUGAAAAGGCCAAAAGAGAAAUUCAAGAAAUGUCGGUACAGCUUGAAGUUGCGAUAGCGGCUGCUAGAAAAAGCGAAUCAGACCGAAUAGCAAAUAGAGAGGUUUCAGCAAGGCAGAAGAUCCAUCUUCAGACAACGCUCAUGGACAGGGAAACUCUCCAAGAGCAAAUUCGAACUCUUGAGGUAGAAACAGCUCAACUUAAAAGAUUAUUACAACAAAGCGAUGAAAAGUUGGUUAAACAAAAUAUUUUACAAGAACGAUGCAAAAAUAAGGAAAUGCAAUUUAAAAAAUCUUUAGAACAGCUUACUUCGACAAUUAAAGCUACUGAAGAUAGCCAUAAAAAACUCAAAGACCUGUUUAACGUGAUUAAUGUUGCAAACCAACAUGUAACUUUUCUUUUAGUUACUAAAACAGACUUAAUAACGAAUUUAGAAGAAGAAAGAAAUAAAUUGCAAGAGCAAGUUUUGUCUUUUACAGAAAAUUUAGCAAAAUUGAAAGUCGAAAACCAGACACAAAAAUCCUAUGGAUGCGAUGAAAAUCUUUUAGAAACUGAACUAGAGAAAUCUUUAGAAGAAAAGGAAAUUGCCAUUAAGGAAAAAGAAAAAGAAAUUAAGGAUCUACAAAAAGCUCUGGAAAUGAGUUUUGAAUCGAUUAAACAUUUAGAAAAACAAAAUGCUAACUUACAGGAUGACUUGAAUUUUUGGAAAAAUAAAGCUAAUAAAAGCUGUUCUUGUCAGUCUGAGAAUAACAGUCAAUCAAAUGAUUCUUCAAGAAGUGAAAAUUCACCAGUUUCUACAACAUCGGACAAGAAUGGAAGUGUUGAAAAGUCUCCGAUUGUAACUGAAAAUACGCCGAAGAAGAAAACCAAAAGGAAUAAAAAAUCACUAUUCACAGCUAACAAAAAUGGAGAUAAAGAAACAAAAAAACAAAAUGGGGUUCCACAGGAAGAAGACAAUUCAGAGAGAAAAAUUAACGCGAAUUAUUAUGAAAUAUUACAAAAUAAUUCAAGAACUUAUUAAACAUUUCAAGAAUAAAAAGUUUAUCUUCCUUUCUAAAGCUUUAAUUUUGAAAAUCUAGUACAUAUUAAAUAUAGAAGAAAAGUACAUUGCAAGUUCAGAGGAUUUUUGGGUAUUGAGCCAACUUCAGACAAAAG